This is a long non-coding RNA of Ceratitis capitata (Mediterranean fruit fly), 1517 nucleotides long. RefSeq lists it as uncharacterized. Lineage: Eukaryota; Metazoa; Arthropoda; Insecta; Diptera; Tephritidae. The record is from RefSeq and is a predicted model, not a curated record. The transcript has 2 exons.
UUCGUUUUUUUUUCAUUCAACAUUUUUCGGAUUUCGGAUUAUGACCGACAUGACUUUCGUGAUCACAAAUUGAAAGUAGAUUCCAAAUCUUGAGUUUGCAUUCUCAGCUCAAAUAAGAAUCAGAGUGUUGAUUUAUCAAGCGUGUAAAAAUUCAACAAUAAUUCGGUGUGAAUAACCUUUAAAAAAGCAAAAAAAUAUUCAUAAUUUCAAUAUGCAACAUACAAACUGCUAUAUUUAUGUUCAUAUAAUGCAAAAAGCAGAAAGUUAGUAAAGAAGAAAUAUGCUCAACGAGAAAUUCAAAACAUCAUAUGGUCUUUAUUUUACUGAUAAAGACUUUACGUCGAAAACUUAUUGCAAAAUUUUUUACACAAACUUCCUGAACUGAGCGAGAGGAGAAAAUAAAGCCUGUCUGCGCUAUUUGAACAUACGCAAGUUCGCCAUAGCUGCAGAAAAAUGCGCUAGUGUCGAUUUACCCAAACCUUCGACUUCGGAAAAUUUAAUCGUCUUUGGACCUGUUCUUAAAAUGAUGCAACACAAAAUGAUGCAACACAAAAUGAUUCAACACAAAAUGAAAUGAUGCAACACAAAAUGAAUUCUAUACAAGGAACGGAUAUACGGAAAAGAAUGAAAAGCCAAGCCUUUAUAAAUUUAUUGAGUGCUGAUUAUUUCGAAGUAUGGUUGGCAUUAAGAGCAGUUAUCGAGGUUGUUUGGGGUACAAUCGUGAACAGCGAGUUGAGAUCAAUAGAAGAAUUAAUGAACUAUUCCAUUAUUACACAGAAAGUCAUUGAAAUUGCCUUUUUUACAUUUUCAUCUUGAAGAAUUUGUGCGAAAAUUGCUUCAAGAGUCGGACGAACAAGUUGAGCGUUUUAAUCACAUCACCAAUCAAAUAAAAGCGAGAUACAAAAGGAAAAACUGAAUGCAUUGCUUGCAGAAAUGUGUUGGUGGUCAAGAAAAAUAAGCCAAUUUGAAAAUGAAUACACCGAAGACCGGGAUUUGAAAAGAUAUGAAGAAAAUAUGAACAAAGAUAUGCCAAUAAAUAUUUUUACUGACCCUGAUACAGAUGAUGGUCCUGAUCUUGCUGAUGAUGAUGAACCGCCAUUGCGGAAAACAUAGUUCCAACGUUGUUAAAAUUAUUAGAUUUAUUACCAACGAAAAAUCUUAUUUGAAGCGCGUACUACUAAGCAGAGGCUGAAGGGUUCGAAUCCUAGUCAAAGCAACAGUUGGAUUAAUAUAAAUUUAAAUUUUCUAAUUGCAUUCGCUACUCGGCAGGGAGUGUAUUUUGAAAAUGAGAUAAAAAGCGAGUGGACUGUACGCUUAAAAAUCCAUCAAAUGAACUAACGUAAUAUUAGGCAGAUUGAUAGCAGCUUACAAUUCAGCGACAUUUUUUAAGAAAGGCUUUUCAAUUAUGUUCGUGAAGGCAAAUAAGAGUGGCGAUAGUGAGAAAUUCUCGAAAUUUUUGAACUGUCAGAAUUAUGCUUGUGUAUACAUUGUGCUAAAUAAACAGAGUUUUGUUUAAU